Molecule: long non-coding RNA, 1353 nt
Organism: Alligator mississippiensis (American alligator)
Lineage: Eukaryota; Metazoa; Chordata; Crocodylia; Alligatoridae
Exons: 3
Source: RefSeq, a predicted model, not a curated record
AAUGCUCAUACAGCUGGGUCAAGGGCUUUGCUGAGGAAGGGAGGGAAAAGCAGCUACAGAGUGAAGCUGUAGCAGAGCUGUACCAGCCUGGAGAAAGGGGCAGAGACUUGGCCCCUCCUUCCCACCAGGCAGAGGGAAUGAAGCUGAGGCUUGCUGGGGAGCAGACUUCAGGACAGAGGAGAAGCUAAGUCAUCCCAGGAGAAGCUGAUUCCCCACCCAGGCUCAGAACUGUGUAAUCAGGGACGCAGGCAAACUCCAGUGCAUUUUUGGAAGAAGAAAGAAGCCUGCUUGAUUUGAGGAAGGAUUUCCAUAACCUGGAGCCUUUGACAGGAUGGGAUAAGGGAGAAUCAAAUUGAGGGGAAAAAAAAAAGGAGAACCCUGGUGGAAUCAGUGUUCCACCUCCCUCCAAAAAAUAAAAAAAUAAAAAGGGAGAAUCAUUAUAGUAGUGAACAGGGUUGUACCUAAGUUCUCAAGCCACAUGGGGAAAUACGCAAGAUGGAGGACUGUCAGAAGCUGUAUCCCAUGAAGCCCAUUGUCCAGACCCCUACAGACCGCUAACAGCAAGCAUUGUCACUCGACCAGAAAAAAGAAAUGCAGAGAUAUGAAGAGGAAAAUGAAUGGACACAGGAGUGAGUCAUGAUACUGAAAUCAGCAGAAUCGUCUCUAUUGUUGAAUUUCUUAAUCCCACCAGCCAGACAUGCGAUCUUCGCUUCUUGCUGCUACUGGAAGCAUCACAAUGGAUUGUCUUGCGCUGCAGUGGCUCCUUCAUUCUUGCAUAAUCCCACACUUCAGCAGUGGUGUAAAUUAAACGGGGAGAACAUGCACUGAAACUCCAGGCACCCCAGGCAAGAGUGAAAAGCAAUGCAAUUGAAUUAAUCCACUCUCCAUUUGUGCAGUCACACAAUUUGAAAGGAGAAUUGAAUUCCUCAGCAAGUAGGCAGAGCAGGCUCAGUAAAAUGUUUGGGGAGUAUUUUUUUUUUUUUUUUUAAUUCUAGUGCAGGAAGCAAAGGGACACUGGUCUGUUAGUUUAUCAAAUCUGUCAAUUACUCCUGCUCAACUGAUCCGUUUAUAGCUGCAAAACCACUCAGCAUUUCCUGCCCUUUCCUCUCCCUGUUGUAUCUCUCCAAAAUGUUUUCAUCCUUUGACGGGUACUGAAAGACCUCUCUUAGGAACAGGAAAGUAGUGAGCAAUAGAGUCACUGAUAAGUACCUCAGUGGUACCCAGUUCUCAGCACAGCUGAGAAUCCAAUAAAGCUGAAACUGGUUACAGAUUCCUUUUCACUAUGGACACAUGAUUAAUGUAAUUUUAUAUCCAUGCUAGUUCUUUGUGGGGAAACUAAGUACUACAAUAUUU